This 472-nucleotide ribosomal RNA is filed under the name uncultured bacterium. RNAcentral describes it as "SSU rRNA". It matches the Rfam family "Bacterial small subunit ribosomal RNA", at positions 26 to 518 of the family's 1533-position model. The record is from RNAcentral.
AGCCUGAACGCUGGCGGCGUGGCUAAGACAUGCAAGUCGCACGGGUGUAGCAAUACAUCAGUGGCGGACGGGUGAGUAAUGUAUCGCUAACGUACCCCAAAGCCUGGGAUAGCUGCCCGAAAGGGCAGGUAAUACCAGAUUAUAUAUCCUUAUCGCAUGACGAGGAUCUCAAAGGGUCACCGCUUUUGGGGAGCGGGGCGAGUAUACGGUAUCAGCUAGUUGGUAGGGUAAUGGCCUACCAAGGCGACGACGCGUAGCCGGACUGAGAGGUUGGCCGGCCACAUUGGGGACUGAGACACUGCCCAGACUCCUACGGGGGGCUGCAGUAACGAAUCUUCCGCAAUGCACGAAAGUGUGACGGAGCGACGCCGCGUGUGGGACUAAGUCCUUCGGGAUGUAAACCACUGUCAGGGGUUAGAAAGUUCUGAUCAACCCCAGAGGAAGGCACGGCUAACUCUGUGCCAGCAGCCGC